RNAcentral lists this long non-coding RNA (688 nucleotides) under Gopherus agassizii (Agassiz's desert tortoise). RNAcentral's name for it is "lncRNA (ENSGAGG00000014674.1)". The record is from RNAcentral. Lineage: Eukaryota; Metazoa; Chordata; Testudines; Testudinidae.
UCUCUCUUUAAGCAGUAUGCUGAAGGUGAAAUGAGAGAGGCAAUAGGAAAAAGUGCACCUUAUUCAAGUUCCUUUCAGGAUUUUGUUGUUUAGAAUUGUCAGAAGCAAGUCUUUGAAGCAUAAUGAUGCAGACUUUCCCCUCCAAACGGAUCCCUGUGGUAUACAGCAUACCAGCUCCCAAUGAUCCUGAAUAUGGAUCUGGACAGAGUCCUAAUCUUCACCAUCUCCAGUCUCCUCAAGAAGAAAUCUCAUAUGUGCAGCAUUCUUUCUUCAAACAGAUGAAUUUGCAUUUCUGGAGAAGAUGGCUUCUAGGAAUGUUACCUCUGAUUUCCUUAACAGUCACUGUACUCAUGUUGGUCCUGUACUAUUCAUUAUCUCCAGCGUUCUCCUUUAUCUAUAUUGGUGGAAGUGUAGAAAUACCUAACUUGACCUAUACCAGUGACCUCACUGAUCCAAAGUCACAGAAAUUUAUAAUGGAAGCAGAAGCAAUCCAGAGCUAUUUUGCAGAACUAUAUGAGUCUUCUACAUUAGGGAAAUAUUACUUGAAAUCUGUUGUUGCUGCAUUUAGGUAAGUCCUUUUCUAGAUGUACUAAAUGAAGUGUGUGUGUUGUGUUGUGUUUUUAAUGGCUUUCCUCGGAGGGAUAUGUAUAAUUUUAUAAUACAGGAAAUAAAGGCAAGUACAGUAGCA